CCGGCAACGGCGCGCUUGCCCCGCAACUGCGAGCCCCGACCCCACGUGGGCGGCCGAGAGGCCGUCAUCUGUGAAACCCUAGGACAGGACGAGAAAACGCGCUUUUCCUGGAAAUCCCGCUCCUCUGCCCGUCCCGCGCCCCGGACCCCACCUCUGCGCGCUGCUGGCGGAGGAGCCGUUUCCCGGGGGAGAUAACGCCCGAACGCAAACGGCCAGCUCGCACACCGUUUCCUCCGCGCUGGAGUGCGGACCUGCAAUGACAGCCUGCGUAGCGCUGGCACAGCCAAGAGGAGGAAACGGACCAGGGCUUGCUGCCCUCCCAGUGAGAGCUGCAAGUCUCUCCCGUCUUGGCCAGCCUUUGCACAGCUUCUGCCUUGGGAAUUCAUCUCUGGAGAAGAAAACCUGGCCAAGGAUGAGUGAGGACUCCUUAUUACAGCAGUCUCACCUCCUGGAGGGAAAGUAUAUGCAACACACCUAGGCAUGUGUGGGCUUUGAGAACUGAAAAUGCAGCAUCAGCCUCCAGCACUUUUGCCAUUCGGGUUGUCGGCAUUGCUUUGCUCUUAAGAAGAACGCAGGCCGGGCGCGGUGGCUCAAGCCUGUAAUCCCAGCACUUUGGGAGGCCGAGGCGGGUGGAUCACGAGGUCAAGAGAUCGAGACCAUCCU
This 663-nucleotide long non-coding RNA is filed under the name Saimiri boliviensis boliviensis (Bolivian squirrel monkey). Its description in RNAcentral is "lncRNA (ENSSBOG00000036782.1)". The record is from RNAcentral. Lineage: Eukaryota; Metazoa; Chordata; Mammalia; Primates; Cebidae.